CACGUAGGGUGCGAGCGUUGUCCGGAAUUAUUGGGCGUAAAGAGCUCGUAGGCGGUGUGUCGCGUCGGCCGUGAAAACCUGCAGCUUAACUGUGGGCUUGCGGUCGAUACGGGCAUCACUGGAGUUCGGCAGGGGAGACUGGAAUUCCUGGUGUAGCGGUGAAAUGCGUAGAUAUCGAGAGGAACACCUGCGGCGAAGGCGGGUUGCUGGGCCGACACUGACGCUGAUGCGCGAAAGCCAGGGGAGCGAACGGG
RNAcentral lists this ribosomal RNA (254 nucleotides) under uncultured bacterium. RNAcentral's name for it is "partial 16S ribosomal RNA". It matches the Rfam family "Bacterial small subunit ribosomal RNA", at positions 524 to 776 of the family's 1533-position model. The record is from RNAcentral.